UAACAAGGAUUCCCCUAGUAACUGCGAGUGAAGCGGGAAGAGCUCAAAUUUAAAAUCUGGCGGUCUUUGGCCGUCCGAGUUGUAGUCUGGAGAAGUGCUUUCCGCGCUGGACCGUGUAUAAGUCUCUUGGAACAGAGCGUCAUAGAGGGUGAGAAUCCCGUCUCUGACACGGACUACCAGUGCUUUGUGAUGCGCUCUCAAAGAGUCGAGUUGUUUGGGAAUGCAGCUCAAAAUGGGUGGUAAAUUCCAUCUAAAGCUAAAUAUUGGCGAGAGACCGAUAGCGAACAAGUACCGUGAGGGAAAGAUGAAAAGCACUUUGGAAAGAGAGUUAAACAGUACGUGAAAUUGCUGAAAGGGAAACGCUUGAAGUCAGUCGCGUUGUUCGGAACUCAGCCUUGCUUUCGCUUGGUGCACUUUCUGAACGACGGGCCAGCAUCGAUUUCGACCGUCGGAAAAGGGUUGGGGGAAUGUGGCACCUUCGGGUGUGUUAUAGCCCCUGGUCGCAUGCGGCGGUUGGGAUCGAGGAACGCAGCGCGCCGCAAGGCAGGGACUUUGUCCACUUUCGCGCUUAGGAUG
RNAcentral lists this ribosomal RNA (576 nucleotides) under Polyporus tuberaster. RNAcentral's name for it is "eukaryotic LSU rRNA". It matches the Rfam family "Eukaryotic large subunit ribosomal RNA", at positions 66 to 625 of the family's 3401-position model. Lineage: Eukaryota; Fungi; Basidiomycota; Agaricomycetes; Polyporales; Polyporaceae. The record is from RNAcentral.